Molecule: long non-coding RNA, 1435 nt
Organism: Pongo pygmaeus (Bornean orangutan)
Lineage: Eukaryota; Metazoa; Chordata; Mammalia; Primates; Hominidae
Exons: 2
Source: RefSeq, a predicted model, not a curated record
AACUGUGGCGAGGGCUGAGGUGGGAGGUCGGGGGCGUCCCCGCGGGGUUAGCGUGCAAGAGAGCGAGGUGCACCAGCGGGCAUGGAUGGCCUGUGCAGAGUCCAGUCUUGUGAGGGCGGCGACCUAGGCAGCGAAUCGCGGGAGUUUCCUAUUGGCAGUAAUCCGAGUCCCAGACGUUAAUUUGUAACAAAAGUAGCGAUGGCCAAGUCCAUAAAGGGGGCAUCUCGGGAAGCCGUUGGCAUGCACCGAAGAGAUGAAAGCCCCGUGCGCGCUAGAAAACGGUUUCGCAACUCUCUUCGGGAAGCAAAUGCGCUGCCCCGCCAAAACAUAAAGUUGGCGAACUGUGCCUGACCCCUCUGGGGUUUUGGAAUGCCUCGUCCUCCCAGGAAAAAAAUCCAGGGAAAUCAUCUUUUCCUUAAAAAGCAAAAAUGUCCAAAUUAUUUCUGUGACUGAAGUAGUUUGUCUGCGGUUGACCAGGGACAUGGCAAGGCCUUGUUUGUGCAUUUAAGGUAAAUCAGAUUCUCUUCUAGGAGUCUGGAAGAGAACCUCCCCAAGGGCACCCUCUUUCCCUUCUGACACAGGGGAAAUACCACAUAUAAAGAGCUACAAAUGUUUGAAGGAGAAGAAAAAAAAGAAAAAUUCCAGCAUGUUAAAAUUUGAUAUUUUAUUUGGGCCCUUUUCAGCAAUGGUAGUCAAUUCCAAAAAGAACCACACGAGAGGUUUCACAUGUGGGGUCAUCCAUCCUUCCAGGGACGCAGAAGGUUCCUGUACAUACUAGGUGUCUGAUGAAUGUGAGCUCCCUUCCCCCGCUUACCUCCUCCAUAGGAAUGCAUGCCUAUCCAGGAAAACACAAAACACACGCAUGUCAGGCCUCUGAGCCCAAGCCUGCACAUAUACAUCCAGAUGGCUUGAAGCAACUGAAGAAUCACAAAAGAAGUGAAAAUGCUGAAGCAACUGAAGAAUCACAAAAGAAGUGAAAAUGGCCGGUUCCUGCCUUAACUGAUAAGACAAUCACCUGUCCUCCUGCUCUUUGCUCUGUGAGAAAGAUCUACCUACGACCUCAGGUCCUCAGACCAACCAGCUCCAGGAACAUCUCACCAAUUUUAAAUUGGAAGACAAGAAUGUCAAGACUCUGAGCCCAACUCUGCACAUAUACAUCCAGAUGGUAUGAAGCUACUGAAGAAUCACAAAAGAAGUGAAAAUGGCCGGUUCCUGCCUUAACUGAUGACAUUACCUUGUGAAAUUCCUUCUGGCUCAGAAGCUCCCCCACUGAGCACCUUGUGACCCCCACCCCUGCCCGCAAGAGAACAACCCCCUUUAACUGUAAUUUUCUACUACCUACCUAAAUCCUAUAAAACUGCCCCAGCCCUAUAACUCCCUUUGCUGACUCUCUUUUCGGACUCAGCCCACCUGCAAUUAAAAAGCUUUAUUGCUC